GGAUUUCCACAGCCUAAAAACACCAUAUGAUCAUUGUCCUCUCCACAAUCCCCGAACACACUGAUUCUAACCAUGGAAUGGAGCUUUGUCUUUCUCUUCUUCCUGUCAGCAGCUGCAGGUGUCCACUCCGAAGUUCAACUGCAGCAGUCUGGGGCUGAGCUGGUGAAGCCUGGGGCUUCAGUGAAGUUGUCCUGCAAAACUUCUGGUUACACCUUCAGCAAUUACUAUAUGAGUUGGUUGAAGCAGAUGCCUGGACAGAAUAUUGAGUGGAUCGGAAACAUUUAUGGUGGAAAUGGUGGUACUGGCUAUAAUCAGAAGUUCAAGGGCAAGGCCACACUGACAGUAGACAAAUCUUCCAGCACAGCGUACAUGGAUCUCAGCAGCCUGACAUCUGAGGACUCUGCAGUCUAUUUUUGUGCAAGGCACAGUGUUUUAACCACAUCCUGAGUGUGUCAGAAACCCUGGAGGAGCAGCAAGCUCCCCUAGGUCUGAGAUAACAGAAAAGAAUAGCAUUUAGACUUCCUCAGAAAUAACCAUUUUGAGCGUCUACUUUUUGCCUUCUCCUCAGGAACCUACAGUGACUUUAUUAACUUUGUUUAAGUAACCUAACAUUAAGGUUGUGUUGCUUUAAGAUCUUCUACUGUACACCAAAACAUUUUAAUGACUUGAUCAGUAAUUACCUCCAUUGACAUGUUUCU
Non-coding RNA from Rattus norvegicus (Norway rat), 698 nucleotides. Lineage: Eukaryota; Metazoa; Chordata; Mammalia; Rodentia; Muridae. The record is from the annotation of a RefSeq genome assembly.